Molecule: unclassified non-coding RNA, 253 nt
Filed under: uncultured Caryophanaceae bacterium
Lineage: Bacteria; Bacillati; Bacillota; Bacilli; Caryophanales; Caryophanaceae
Description: uncultured Planococcaceae bacterium contains 16S-23S intergenic spacer region
Rfam family: Bacterial small subunit ribosomal RNA
Source: RNAcentral
UACGGAGGUGGCAAGCGUUGUCCGGAAUUAUUGGGCGUAAAGCGCGCGCAGGCGGUUCUUUAAGUCUGAUGUGAAAGCCCACGGCUCAACCGUGGAGGGUCAUUGGAAACUGGGGAACUUGAGUGCAGAACAGGAAAGUGGAAUUCCAUGUGUAGCGGUCAAAUGCGUAGAGAUGUGGAGGAACACCAGUGGCGAAGGCGACUUCCUGGACUGUAACUGACGCUGAGGCGCGAAAGCGUGGGGAGCAAACAGG